Molecule: small nucleolar RNA, 128 nt
Organism: Megalops cyprinoides (Indo-Pacific tarpon)
Lineage: Eukaryota; Metazoa; Chordata; Actinopteri; Elopiformes; Megalopidae
Product: small nucleolar RNA SNORA31
Exons: 1
Source: RefSeq, a predicted model, not a curated record
UGGCAUCCACUGAUAGACCUAAAGCAGGACCACCUUGGCUUUUGGGUUUGCACUCGGAUGCAACAUCCAAUUUCCUUGCGCUUUCUGACUGUCAAGUGGCAGAUUGGAUUGAAUUAAGGAAAACACGC